GCUUACGGCCAUACCACCCUGAGCACGCCUGAUCUCGUCUGAUCUCGGAAGCUAACCAGGGUCGGGCCUGGUUAGUACUUGGAUGGGAGACCGCCUGGGAAUACCAGGUGCUGUAAGCU
Molecule: ribosomal RNA, 119 nt
Filed under: Betta splendens (Siamese fighting fish)
Lineage: Eukaryota; Metazoa; Chordata; Actinopteri; Anabantiformes; Osphronemidae
Source: RNAcentral